RNAcentral lists this ribosomal RNA (508 nucleotides) under uncultured bacterium. RNAcentral describes it as "partial 16S ribosomal RNA". It matches the Rfam family "Bacterial small subunit ribosomal RNA", at positions 28 to 507 of the family's 1533-position model. The record is from RNAcentral.
GACGAACGCUGGCGGCGUGCCUAAUACAUGCAAGUCGAACGCUUCUUUCCUCCCGAGUGCUUGCACUCAAUUGGAAAGAGGAGUGGCGGACGGGUGAGUAACACGUGGGUAACCUACCCAUCAGAGGGGGAUAACACUUGGAAACAGGUGCUAAUACCGCAUAACAGUUUAUGCCGCAUGGCAUAAGAGUGAAAGGCGAUUUCGGGAGUCGCUGAUGGUUGGUCCCGCGGUGCAUUAGCUAGUUGGUGAGGUAACGGCUCACCAAGGCCACGAUUCAUAGCCGACCUGGAAGGGUGAUCGGCCACACGGGGACUGGGACACGGCCCAGACUCCUACGGGAGGCAGCAGUAGGGAAUCUUCGGCAAUGGACGAAAGUCUGACCGAGCAACGCCGCGUGAGUGAAGAAGGUUUUCGGUUCGUAAAACUCUGUUGUUAGAGAAGAACAAGGACGUUAGUAACUGAACGUCACCUGACGGUAUCUAACCAGAAAGCCACGGCUAACUACGUG